RNAcentral lists this ribosomal RNA (253 nucleotides) under uncultured bacterium. RNAcentral describes it as "partial 16S ribosomal RNA". It matches the Rfam family "Bacterial small subunit ribosomal RNA", at positions 524 to 776 of the family's 1533-position model. The record is from RNAcentral.
CACGUAGGGCGCAAGCGUUGUCCGGAAUUAUUGGGCGUAAAGAGCUCGUAGGCGGUUUGUCGCGUCUGCUGUGAAAACGCGAGGCUUAACCUCGCGCCUGCAGUGGGUACGGGCAGACUAGAGUGCGGUAGGGGAGACUGGAAUUCCUGGUGUAGCGGUGGAAUGCGCAGAUAUCAGGAGGAACACCGGUGGCGAAGGCGGGUCUCUGGGCCGUUACUGACGCUGAGGAGCGAAAGCAUGGGGAGCGAACAGG